Molecule: long non-coding RNA, 225 nt
Organism: Nerophis ophidion (straightnose pipefish)
Lineage: Eukaryota; Metazoa; Chordata; Actinopteri; Syngnathiformes; Syngnathidae
Exons: 3
Source: RefSeq, a predicted model, not a curated record
GCGAUUUAUGCAAAAGAAGCCCAUUUUUCCACGCUGAUUUGCUUUUGUCCAACACAUCUGCGGAGUGUGUACGGUGGACAGGCCCUCGGGAGGUGAUCUUGUGAACACUUGCUGAGGAUCCUUGAUGCCGAGUGCAGGAUGUUUCCUACCAGUUUGAAGCCAUGUCUGAAGGGUUCCGAGGUGGAAUGUUCUGCGCUGGCCGAUGGCGGCGUCGGGGGGGGGGGG